GAAGGUGUAGUUCAGUGGCAGAGUGCUAUGCUUAGCAAGCAUGAGGUCCUGGGGUCAAUCCCCAGUAUCUCCA
RNAcentral lists this transfer RNA (73 nucleotides) under Camelus bactrianus (Bactrian camel). It matches the Rfam family "tRNA". Rfam says of the family: Transfer RNA (tRNA) molecules are approximately 80 nucleotides in length. Their secondary structure includes four short double-helical elements and three loops (D, anti-codon, and T loops). The record is from Rfam by way of RNAcentral. RNAcentral also lists the same sequence under 2 other names. Lineage: Eukaryota; Metazoa; Chordata; Mammalia; Artiodactyla; Camelidae.